Long non-coding RNA from Canis lupus familiaris (dog), 460 nucleotides. RefSeq lists it as uncharacterized. NCBI's taxonomy places the organism in Eukaryota, Metazoa, Chordata, Mammalia, Carnivora, Canidae. The record is from RefSeq and is a predicted model, not a curated record. The transcript is spliced from 3 exons.
GGAAUGUUGGCUCCCUCAUGUCCUCUUACAGUUUGGUAUCCUUGCUGCUGUAGGUCAAAUGAUUUUCCAUCACUCUAGCCUUUGGGAACUAAGGUGCCAGAUUCUCUGAAGAGAGCAUUGUCCCAAUAAAGGAAAAUCAUGAAGGCACUGGAUAUUUUAACUGUGGAACAUAAGAGAGAACGGAGAUGGAGUUGUUGGUGCAGAUUUCCAAGGAUGAAGUUGUCUGAGUGCAGCCAAAGCUUUCAGUCAAGAAACAAGGUGCCCCCUACUGAUGAGGAAAAGAUGACAGCACAGAGGAACUAUAUGAUCAAUUCAUCUGGAGCUGGAAUAACCAUGGAUGAAAUAAUUUUCCUCAGAAUGAAAUAAUAAAAAAUAUCCUCAAGCAAAGUUCUCCAAUACCUGAGAACAUUAUUCUCUGAAAAAUAGAGGAUAUUCAAUAAAAGUUCAGAUGGAGGGCUAA